Molecule: long non-coding RNA, 830 nt
Organism: Neogale vison (American mink)
Lineage: Eukaryota; Metazoa; Chordata; Mammalia; Carnivora; Mustelidae
Exons: 2
Source: RefSeq, a predicted model, not a curated record
CUUCGUGGUCGAUACGUUUUAAUCUGAAGAGAUGUUAUCACAACCUUUACCGCAACUGGAUCCCAGGCUCCAUCCUUGUUUUAGACACAGUCGGGCCUCCGUACCCCUUCCGAACUGCAGCCCCCUAACCUGAGGCUGAUUGUGAGGACACUCGUCCAAUCGAGUUUUGCACCUAGGAACUUCCGGGGAUGACGUCAUUACGCAGCCACACGGCGUCACAAUUCAAGAGGCAUGUGAUCGAGCGCCGCUUGCGGGAAGCCCCAGUGGCCUAAUGGAUAAGGCACUGGCCUCCUAAGCCAGGGAUUGUGGGUUCGAGUCCCAUCUGGGGUGAGGUGGUUUACGUGUGGAGAUCUUUUUCCUUAUCAAGCCCGACUGCACUUCGGAAGAUAAACCCAUGUGAGGACAAACGCGGCCCCACUGCUUGUUGCCCCAGCCGGUGUCCAAACACCCCUCGCUAAAGCGCUGCGAAAGCCUCACGUCCACGCACGAGAGAAGCGCGCGUGUUCUCUGUGCGUCCGUCACCGGGAAGUUGAAAGCGGCCACCGGCAGCCCCUGCCCCUCAGCCUCGCGGUGCGCUCUGGCCCGUGGAACCGGCCCCCACCGCCCCCGCCCCCCCCCAAGACGAGGAGGCGUGCACGGAAGCUCGCGUGUGCACGCGCGGCCGGCGGGGACACACCAGGGCCAGCCUCUGGGGUCCGCCCAGGCCCGCAGGAAAAAGGUGGCUCAGGAGUGUUUCUAAAGGGACUGUCGGAGGGACGUUUAUGAUUUCCCUACUUUCCUAUGUACAUAAUCCUUUAGUAAGAGGCUCAAUUAAAAUAUAUAUAUAUAUA